RNAcentral lists this ribosomal RNA (498 nucleotides) under uncultured bacterium. RNAcentral describes it as "bacterial SSU rRNA". It matches the Rfam family "Bacterial small subunit ribosomal RNA", at positions 28 to 534 of the family's 1533-position model. The record is from RNAcentral.
GACGAACGCUGGCGGCGUGCCUGACACAUGCAAGUCGGACGGUCCGUGAUUGAUCAAGCUUGCUUGAUUGGUUGUGGAUAGUGGCGGACGGGUGAGUAACGCGUGAACACCUACCCAUUGGAGGGGUACAACCCGUCGAAAGGCGGGCUAAUACCGCGUAAGCCGAGAGGUGAAAGGCUGCUUUUAUGGUGGCUGCCGAUGGAUGGGUUCGCGUCCUAUCAGCUAGUUGGUGGGGUAACGGCCUACCAAGGCUAAGACGGGUAGCCGGUCUGAGAGGAUGGCCGGCCACACUGGAACUGAGACACGGUCCAGACUCCUACGGGAGGCAGCAGUGGGGAAUAUUGGGGCAAUGGGGGAGACCCUGACCCAGCGACGCCGCGUGAGGGAAGAAGGUUUUCGGAUCGUAAACCUCUGUUGUACGGGAAGAAGGAAUUGACGGUACCGUACGAGUAAGCCCCGGCAAACUACGUGCCAGCAGCCGCGGUAAGAGUCACGUCG